AGCGGCGGACGGGUGAGUAAGGCAUGGGAAUCUGCCCAGUUGAGGGGGAUAACUGCUGGAAACGGCAGCUAAUACCGCAUACGCCCUGCGGGGUAAAGAAGGGGACCGGUUUACCGGCCUUUCGCGACUGGAUGAGCCCAUGUAAGAUUAGCUAGUUGGUGAGGUAAAGGCUCACCAAGGCGACGAUCUUUAGCUGGUUUGAGAGGAUGAUCAGCCACACUGGAACUGAGACACGGUCCAGACUCCUACGGGAGGCAGCAGUGGGGAAUAUUGCACAAUGGGCGCAAGCCUGAUGCAGCCAUGCCGCGUGUGUGAAGAAGGCUUUCGGGUUGUAAAGCACUUUCAGUGGGGAGGAAGGUAAGCUGUUGAAUAGGUAGUUUAUUUGACGUUACCCACAGAAGAAGCACCGGCUAACUCCGUGCCAGCAGCCGCGGUAAUACGGAGGGUGCGAGCGUUAAUCGGAAUGACUGGGCGUAAAGGGCACGUAGGCGGUUUAUUAAGCUCAUUGUGAAAGGUCCGGGCUUAACCUGGAGAGUGCAGUGAGAACUGGUAAGCUUGAGUUUUGGAGAGGGGAGUAGAAUUUCCGGAGUAGCGGUGAAAUGCGUAGAGUUCGGAAGGAAUACCAGUGGCGAAGGCGACUCUCUGGCCAAAAACUGA
This 657-nucleotide ribosomal RNA is filed under the name uncultured bacterium. Its description in RNAcentral is "bacterial SSU rRNA". It matches the Rfam family "Bacterial small subunit ribosomal RNA", at positions 94 to 743 of the family's 1533-position model. The record is from RNAcentral.